UGGUUUGUUGCAGCCAUCUCUCUCGUUCCCUCGUCCAAUUUCAAUUCCUUUAAUUUAAACUCAAUAAAAAACAGAGCAAAUAAAAAAAAUUUCAAACAAGAAAAUGAAAAAGAAGAGCAAACAAAGAACACAUUAAGCGAAUAAAUCCACAGCUUAUCUAUUGCCACCAUUCAAGUAUCAAAAAAAAAAAAUCUCUUCAGAGUCGGCUGUUGUUACUAGGAUAAACUCUGGGCGAAGAGUGUAUGUUCGAUCCAGAGCAUUAGGCAGUCCCACUGUCCCAGCGUCUACAAGGCAAGGUGAGCUGCCUUCUGCCCUGAUAUCAUCAUG
This 327-nucleotide unclassified non-coding RNA is filed under the name Hevea brasiliensis (rubber tree). The record is from RNAcentral. Lineage: Eukaryota; Viridiplantae; Streptophyta; Magnoliopsida; Malpighiales; Euphorbiaceae.